UACGGAGGGUGCAAGCGUUAUCCGGAUUUACUGGGUUUAAAGGGUGCGCAGGCGGAUAUGUAAGUCAGUGGUGAAAUCUUUGGGCUUAACCCGAAAAUUGCCAUUGAUACUAUAUAUCUUGAAUGCUGUGGAGGUAAGCGGAAUAUGUCAUGUAGCGGUGAAAUGCUUAGAGAUGACAUAGAACACCUAUUGCGAAGGCAGCUUACUACGCAGAUAUUGACGCUCAUGCACGAAAGCGUGGGGAGCGAACAGG
RNAcentral lists this ribosomal RNA (253 nucleotides) under uncultured bacterium. RNAcentral describes it as "partial 16S ribosomal RNA". It matches the Rfam family "Bacterial small subunit ribosomal RNA", at positions 524 to 776 of the family's 1533-position model. The record is from RNAcentral.